This 287-nucleotide unclassified non-coding RNA is filed under the name Staphylococcus petrasii. Its description in RNAcentral is "16S-23S ribosomal RNA intergenic spacer". The record is from RNAcentral. Lineage: Bacteria; Bacillati; Bacillota; Bacilli; Caryophanales; Staphylococcaceae.
AAGGAUAUAUUCGGAACAUCUCGYAGAGAUGACGGAAUAACGUGACAUAUUGUAUUCAGUUUUGAAUGUUUAUUUCAAACAUUCAAAAUAAAUGAUGAUUGCAUUAAACAUUAUAAUUUGAUAUAAUAUUUAAUUGUGAUUGUYAGAUUGUACAUUGAAAACUAGAUAAGUAAGUAAAAUAGAUUUUACCAAGCAAAACCGAGUGAAUAGAGUUUUAAAUAAGCUUGAAUUCAUAAAAAAUAAUCGCUAGUGUUCGAAAGAACACUCACAGAUUAAUAACUAUAUUA